UCACCACUGCGCGGCGCCACUUCUCCUCCAAAGCCACCGCCGCGGCGCGCGGCCUCCUCCUCCGCCAAAUCUACCGCCGUAGCGUGCAGCCUCCUCCUCCGCCGCGGCGCGCCGCCACCUCGCUCCUCUCUCCCCAUCCACCGCGCUGCCGGAGUCGACCUCGUGCUCGCCCAGGUGGUGGUGAGUGGGUGGAGGAGGAGGAGGCGAGGGCGUCGGACUUGUGUGUGUGCAGGUCCAGGGGCAGGACGCGGUCGCCGACGAGGCAACCAUAAAAGGGCUAGCAGAUGUGCUGUAAAAAAAAUCAAGAACCUACAAGAACCAUAAAAGAGAUAAUUUGUUUUGUUUUUGGGACCUCGAUACACCUACAAGAACCUUAGUUACAUCUAAGUUAUGUAAUUAUUGCUAUGUACUUGAACUCUGUUAUGUAAUAUAGCUUUUUGAGUUGAUGGAUAACUGCUAUAUAUAGGAAUACUGCUACUUGAUGGAUGAACAAUAGUUACAUGAUGAUAUAUGUCAGAAUGCAUUUGUGAACAAUAGUUAUGAAUAGUUGAAUAUUGUGUUAUGCAUAUGUGUAACUUACUGAAAGGUGAUAAUCAUAUAUAUGCUGCAGAUUUAAUUUGAGGUAUGGUUCAUAAAAU
RNAcentral lists this long non-coding RNA (638 nucleotides) under Oryza sativa Indica Group (long-grained rice). RNAcentral's name for it is "lncRNA OsLiXu_07g0026930". Lineage: Eukaryota; Viridiplantae; Streptophyta; Magnoliopsida; Poales; Poaceae. The record is from RNAcentral.